This 563-nucleotide ribosomal RNA is filed under the name uncultured bacterium. RNAcentral's name for it is "bacterial SSU rRNA". It matches the Rfam family "Bacterial small subunit ribosomal RNA", at positions 362 to 917 of the family's 1533-position model. The record is from RNAcentral.
UUUUGGACAUGGGGGCAACCCUGNUCCAGCCAUGCCGCGUGAGUGAAGAAGGCCUUCGGGUUGUAAAGCUCUUUCGGCCGGGACGAAAUCGCUAUUUCUAAUACGAGUAGUGGAUGACGGUACCGGAAUAAGAAGCACCGGCUAACUACGUGCCAGCAGCCGCGGUAAUACGUAGGGUGCGAGCGUUAAUCGGAAUUACNUGGGCGUAAAGCGUGCGCAGGCNGGUUUUGUAAGCCAGAUGUGAAAUCCCCGGGCUUAACCUGGGAACUGCAUUUGGGACUGCAAGGCUAGAGUGUGUCAGAGGGGGGUAGAAUUCCACGUGUAGCAGUGAAAUGCGUAGAGAUGUGGAGGAAUACCGAUGGCGAAGGCAGCCCCCUGGGAUAACACUGACGCUCAUGCACGAAAGCGUGGGGAGCAAACAGGAUUAGAUACCCUGGUAGUCCACGCCCUAAACGAUGUCAACUAGUUGUCGGAGGAGAGAUUCUUUGGUAACGCAGCUAACGCGUGAAGUUGACCGCCUGGGGAGUACGGCCGCAAGGUUAAAACUCAAAGGAAUUGACGGA